Molecule: unclassified non-coding RNA, 225 nt
Filed under: uncultured fungus
Lineage: Eukaryota; Fungi
Description: sequence contains ITS1
Source: RNAcentral
GUAUUAAUUGCGUGUGAUCGCAAAGAAAGACAUUCUACACUGUAUCGAGUUUGUGUGAAAACGCGAGCCCCCCUCGGGACGAGCCGAAAGGGGACCCACGCGGUGGUGCACAUAGGGGUGAAAUGGAUGGUUGAGAGCACUUGGGCGUGCACGACGAAAAGUCAGCGACAGCCCAUGUGCCUCGGUUGUACGAUAAUGAUCCUUCCGCAGGUUCACCUACGGAAA